UACGGGAGGCAGCAGUGGGGAAUAUUGCACAAUGGGCGCAAGCCUGAUGCAGCCAUGCCGCGUGUAUGAAGAAGGCCUUCGGGUUGUAAAGUACUUUCAGCGGGGAGGAAGGCGAUGCGGUUAAUAACCGCGUCGAUUGACGUUACCCGCAGAAGAAGCACCGGCUAACUCCGUGCCAGCAGCCGCGGUAAUACGGAGGGUGCAAGCGUUAAUCGAAAUUACUGGGCGUAAAGCGCACGCAGGCGGUCUGUUAAGUCAGAUGUGAAAUCCCCGGGCUUAACCUGGGAACUGCAUUUUGAACUGGCAGGCUUGAGUCUUGUAGAGGGGGUAGAAUUCCAGGUGUAGCGGUGAAAUGCGUAGAGAUCUGGAGGAAUACCGGUGGCGAAGGCGGCCCCUGGGACAAGACUGACGCUCAGGUGCGAAAGCGUGGGGAGCAAACGAGGAUUAGAUACC
Molecule: ribosomal RNA, 453 nt
Filed under: uncultured bacterium
Lineage: Bacteria
Description: bacterial SSU rRNA
Rfam family: Bacterial small subunit ribosomal RNA
Source: RNAcentral